GCGGAUAUGGCGGAACUGGCAGACGCGCUAGCUUCAGGUGCUAGUUGGGGCAACUCAGUGCAGGUUCGAUUCCUGUUAUCCGCACCA
Molecule: transfer RNA, 87 nt
Filed under: Oscillospiraceae bacterium
Lineage: Bacteria; Bacillati; Bacillota; Clostridia; Eubacteriales; Oscillospiraceae
Description: tRNA-Leu
Rfam family: tRNA
About the family: Transfer RNA (tRNA) molecules are approximately 80 nucleotides in length.
Source: RNAcentral